Non-coding RNA from Ciona intestinalis (vase tunicate), 970 nucleotides. Lineage: Eukaryota; Metazoa; Chordata; Ascidiacea; Phlebobranchia; Cionidae. The record is from RefSeq and is a predicted model, not a curated record.
AAAAUGCGAAACGUUGCUGAAAUUAAAUAAGUAAACUAAAGAUUUCCCAAUCGUAGACAGCCUGUUAAUCACAAGAUCCCAAAAUCACAAGACAUUGAUCACGAGACAGAAAAUGACAACACCGUUGCGCAAUACAUAUAUAAUAACCGUGCGGUGGUUCACCUGGUACUCAACUGUCUGGCUGUAUUUUAAAGGUACGCCGCUUUUACGCAAAACUAUUCAUUUUUACUGAAGCUAAGCGUAGAGUGACGAUUUUUGAGUAAAGAGAAUUUGUCUAUGUAUUAUAUCUGAUAGUUCAACAAAAAUCUCUUGCAAUUUGGUUAGGAUAUUUAGCGAAUUUUUCACUUCAUCUUUAAAGAGCUGAAUUCACAUGUAAACAGAUGUUAUAACACUGCUCGCUGGAAAAAUUGAUUUGAAUUGUUUAAAGAGGGAAAAAGGAAAUCACGUUUAUUAGUUGGUGGCUAACUAUAUCUUAACAUACACUUGUAAUUAGGUGUAGGCCUACACUGCUUGUCUGCAAAACUGGCUAGAACGAUUCAAUAACUCAAGGGUAUUAAAACAUGCAGUGCUUUAAGUUUAAACCACUUAAAAUGUGCUUUUUCACAGCAUAAUACCUGUAUUACACAGCCAGCUUUUAAACUGAUACUCUUUCCUAUGCAUUUUAUCCAUGUUUUAGCGACUGUCAUUUUGCUGUUGAUUUUCUUCUCUUCGUGGUUCAUUCAUUUGACCUUCGCAAUCAUAUUCGAAAGGAAAAUAAAUAUUGUGAUAGUAUAUAGUUAAACACUUUCGCCCCUUUAGAUUAAACAUUUUUCUCAAAAAACUGUUUUCUUUAUAAUCUAGAAAACGUAGAUAUAUAUUUAUUACAUCACAGAAAAACUUAAGUUCAGCAAUCUCGUAACCAGGUCUCACAGUUUAACACUAAAACAGAAUUUUUUACAAAAAUAGUGGAAAUAGAAUUAAAAAACAUAAA